Long non-coding RNA from Schistocerca nitens (vagrant locust), 808 nucleotides. RefSeq lists it as uncharacterized. The transcript is spliced from 3 exons. The record is from RefSeq and is a predicted model, not a curated record. NCBI's taxonomy places the organism in Eukaryota, Metazoa, Arthropoda, Insecta, Orthoptera, Acrididae.
GAUACGUCGAACAUCUGAGUGAUAAGUAACGUCAAACGUGGAACGUAGAUCCCGGAAUUUUAUUUAACUUUAUUAUUUCGAAUCUACGAACAUUACUUUCGUGGGAAUAGUUUUUGUUGUUGUUACGUAUAAUUUAGUCUAAAUAUCGAGAGUGACAAAAGGCUUCGUUAUGGUAGCAUCAAAGUCCGUCAUAUCGGGAAAACGAUUUCAAGGCUAUGGGCACACAGCUGUGCUGAUCGUUUUAUUUAGUUGAGACGAUCUGUAGAAAAUUCACGGAUCUCGAGGAUAGCGUGGCCACAACAUCGCAGGACAACCCCAUGGGGGGAGAGCCUUCACUUCCUCGACCUCCUCUUGUCCGUCUGAUGGAGCUGGACCCACCCACACUGCAGCGGUCGCCGCCUUCUUUAUCAGGUUCAUGACAUCAGGAGGUGGACGCUUAUCCUUCUGGUUAUUUUCUGGGUGCAUUUCUGUCAGAGUGAAAACUCUCAACAUCUUGCUCAUUAUGGAGUGAUGCUGACUCAGUUUUUCAGGAUGGUAAAUGGGAAGUUGCAGUACAGAAAACGGCCCAGAGAUCACCAGUGUGUGCAUGUGUGUAGUGAGUGAAGUGUUAUGAAACAAUAUGUGUAUAGUGUGUGCUGUGACUGAUAGUGAGAUAUGAGUGAACAAUGUGGCAUUACAUUAUUUAAUAAGUUAUUUGUAAAAAAAGUAUUGUAUACCUGGAGUAAAUCUAAUGAUUGUCUCUAACCAGAAGUCUGUAAAUACAUUUGUAUAUGAAUUAGCUUAUUUUAAAUUGAUCUAAAUUUGUAAA